Long non-coding RNA from Gekko japonicus, 209 nucleotides. RefSeq lists it as uncharacterized. The record is from RefSeq and is a predicted model, not a curated record. NCBI's taxonomy places the organism in Eukaryota, Metazoa, Chordata, Lepidosauria, Squamata, Gekkonidae. The transcript has 3 exons.
CCUUUCAGCUCAGGCUGUUGGAAGCCAGCUUUCUAGAAAUGCCAACGAAAAUCUCCACAAUAUACUCCAGGGAAGUCACCCAGCCACUUGGAUUCAGCCGUACGAAGACGGACCAUUUUCGGGCCAAAGACGUAAGAGAACAAUCAUAGGAUCUAAAGAUAAAAAGAGGUCCAGACACUACAAAUACAAGAAGACUAACACAUAACAGG